This 112-nucleotide unclassified non-coding RNA is filed under the name plant metagenome. Its description in RNAcentral is "partial contains 5.8S ribosomal RNA, internal transcribed spacer 2, and large subunit ribosomal RNA". The record is from RNAcentral.
AAAAGCGGCUGGAAGAACUCCGGCUCCAGCGCGAAGGAGUCGCGGCAUUGACCCGCGAAGAGAUCGUCGCGAAAUUGGGACUCGACCAAGCGCAAAAGGACAAGAUCAAACA